Molecule: ribosomal RNA, 495 nt
Filed under: uncultured bacterium
Lineage: Bacteria
Description: partial 16S ribosomal RNA
Rfam family: Bacterial small subunit ribosomal RNA
Source: RNAcentral
GACGAACGCUGGCGGCGUGCCUAAUACAUGCAAGUAGAACGCUGAAGGAGGAGCUUGCUUCUCUGGAUGAGUUGCGAACGGGUGAGUAACGCGUAGGUAACCUGCCUGGUAGCGGGGGAUAACUAUUGGAAACGAUAGCUAAUACCGCAUAAGAGUAGAUGUUGCAUGACAUUUGCUUAAAAGGUGCAAUUGCAUCACUACCAGAUGGACCUGCGUUGUAUUAGCUAGUUGGUGGGGUAACGGCUCACCAAGGCGACGAUACAUAGCCGACCUGAGAGGGUGAGCGGCCACACUGGGACUGAGACACGGCCCAGACUCCUACGGGAGGCAGCAGUAGGGAAUCUUCGGCAAUGGACGGAAGGCUGACCGAGCAACGCCGCGUGAGUGAAGAAGGUUUUCGGAUCGUAAAGCUCUGUUGUAAGAGAAGAACGAGUGUGAGAGUGGAAAGUUCACACUGUGACGGUAUCUUACCAGAAAGGGACGGCUAACUACGUG